RNAcentral lists this ribosomal RNA (497 nucleotides) under uncultured bacterium. Its description in RNAcentral is "partial 16S ribosomal RNA". It matches the Rfam family "Bacterial small subunit ribosomal RNA", at positions 28 to 507 of the family's 1533-position model. The record is from RNAcentral.
GAUGAACGCUGGCGGCGUGCCUAAUACAUGCAAGUCGAGCGAACAGACGAGGAGCUUGCUCCUCUGACGUUAGCGGCGGACGGGUGAGUAACACGUGGAUAACCUACCUAUAAGACUGGGAUAACUGCGGGAAACCGGAGUUAAUACCGGAUAAUAUAUUGAACCGCAUGGUUCAAUAGUGAAAGACGGUUUUGCUGUCACCUAUAGAUGUAUCCGCGCCGCAUUAGCUAGUUGGUAAGGUAACGGCCUACCAAGGAAACGAUGCGUAGCCGACCUGAGAGGGUGAUCGGCCACACUGGAACUGAGACACGGUCCAGACUCCUACGGGAGGCAGCAGUAGGGAAUCUUCCGCAAUGGGCGAAAGCCUGACGGAGCAACGCCGCGUGAGUGAUGAAGGUCUUCGGAUCGUAAAACUCUGUUAUUAGGGAAGAACAAAUGUGUAAGUAACUAUGCACGUCUUGACGGUACCUAAUCAGAAAGCCACGGCUAACUACGUG